Molecule: ribosomal RNA, 639 nt
Filed under: uncultured Actinomycetes bacterium
Lineage: Bacteria; Bacillati; Actinomycetota; Actinomycetes
Description: bacterial SSU rRNA
Rfam family: Bacterial small subunit ribosomal RNA
Source: RNAcentral
CGCGGCCUAUCAGCUUGUUGGUGGGGUGAUGGCCUACCAAGGCUUCGACGGGUAGCCGGCCUGAGAGGGCGACCGGCCACACUGGGACUGAGACACGGCCCAGACUCCUACGGGAGGCAGCAGUGGGGAAUAUUGCGCAAUGGGCGGAAGCCUGACGCAGCGACGCCGCGUGAGGGAUGACGGCCUUCGGGUUGUAAACCUCUUUCAGCAGGGACGAAUGUAGACGGUACCUGUAGAAGAAGCACCGGCCAACUACGUGCCAGCAGCCGCGGUAAUACGUAGGGUGUGAGCGUUGUCCGGAAUUAUUGGGCGUAAAGAGCUCGUAGGCGGUCUGUCGCGUCGAAUGUGAAAACCCGGGGCUCAACUCCGGGCUUGCAUUCGAUACGGGCAGGCUAGAGCUCGGUAGGGGAGUCUGGAAUUCCUGGUGUAGCGGUGAAAUGCGCAGAUAUCAGGAGGAACACCGGUGGCGAAGGCGGGACUCUGGGCCGAUACUGACGCUGAGGAGCGAAAGCGUGGGGAGCGAACAGGAUUAGAUACCCUGGUAGUCCACGCCGUAAACGUUGGGCGCUAGGUGUGGGGGUCCUUCCACGACCUCCGUGCCGCAGCUAACGCAUUAAGCGCCCCGCCUGGGGAGUACGG